GACGUAGGGCGCGAGCGUUGUCCGGAUUUAUUGGGCGUAAAGAGCUCGUAGGCGGUCUGUUGCGUCCGCUGUGAAAACUCGGGGCUUAACCCCGAGCCUGCAGUGGAUACGGGCAGACUAGAGGUAGGUAGGGGAGAAUGGAAUUCCCGGUGUAGCGGUGAAAUGCGCAGAUAUCGGGAGGAACACCGGUGGCGAAGGCAGAUCUCUGGGCCGUAACUGACGCUGAGGAGCGAAAGCAUGGGGAGCGAACAGG
RNAcentral lists this ribosomal RNA (253 nucleotides) under uncultured bacterium. RNAcentral describes it as "partial 16S ribosomal RNA". It matches the Rfam family "Bacterial small subunit ribosomal RNA", at positions 524 to 776 of the family's 1533-position model. The record is from RNAcentral.